This 22-nucleotide microRNA is filed under the name Ananas comosus (pineapple). RNAcentral's name for it is "microRNA s1063_c134a". Lineage: Eukaryota; Viridiplantae; Streptophyta; Magnoliopsida; Poales; Bromeliaceae. The record is from RNAcentral.
GAUCGUCUAUUCGGAAGCUCCA